Molecule: long non-coding RNA, 420 nt
Organism: Mastomys coucha (southern multimammate mouse)
Lineage: Eukaryota; Metazoa; Chordata; Mammalia; Rodentia; Muridae
Exons: 3
Source: RefSeq, a predicted model, not a curated record
UCUCCCAUGAGGUCCACUUUGUUCCCACAGGCCUGUACUGCAGGAACUGAUCACCAAGUGAGAGCUGAGGGGACCUGUUCUCAGCUGCCAACCUCAUGCCUCAGGUCAUCAUCACUUGUGCGGUUCUAUCAAUCUACCUAUGCAUUUGUAUGCCACCUCUCGCCAGAGUGCUUGUCUCCUGUUCUCCCUAAGCAAUGAGGUUAAUAUUGAAGGGCCUGGUGUGGGUCUCUCAUGAGCAGACAUAAAGCAUACUGUGGGAACCACUGCAGCUUCGAGCUCCUGAGACUCCACUGUGCUCCACAGAUUAGAAACUGCUCUAUUCAGUACUGCUGAUGCUGUGGUAAGCUUAAACCAGAAGGGCUAUGAUGGGCCAGAAAAUAGAAAUCAUGGUGUAUCAGUGGCUUUGCAAAUUGAUUGUGA